AUACAGAGACCUCAAGCGUAUCCGGAUUUACUGGGCGUAAAGCGUCUGUUAGGGGGUUAUNAAGUUCCAAGUAAAAUUUCAAGGCUCAACCUUUGAAUUCGCUUGGAAAACUAAUAAACUGGAGUCUAGCAGAGGUGCAUGGAACUUGUGGUGUUAGGAGUGAAAUCCGUUGAUAUCACAAGGAACACCAAAGGCGAAGGCAUUUGCACUGGGCUAGCACUGACCCUGAGAGACGAAAGCGUGGGGAGCAAAACGGAUUAGAUACCCGUGUAGUCCACGCCCUAAACGAUGAAUGCUAAAUGUUCGGGGAUUCGACCCCCUGGGUGUUACAGCUAACGCGUUAAGCAUUCCGCCUGGGAAGUACGGCCGCAAGGCUAAAACUCAAAGGAAUAGACGGGGAUCCGCACAAGCGGUGGAGCGUCUGGUUUAAUUCGACAGUAAGCGUGGUACCUCACCAGGGUUUGACAUCCCUUGACAGCCUUGGAAACAAGGUUUCCUUCGGGCAAGGUGACAGGUGCUGCAUGGUCGUCGUCAGUUCGUGCCGUGAGGUGUUCCGUUAAGUCGGGAAACGAACGAAACCCCUAUUGCAUGUUACAAUUUCUCAUGCAAGACUGCCCGGAUAUACUGGGAGGAAGGUGGGGAUGACGUCAGAUCUGCAUGGUCCUUAUACCCUGGGCGACACAGGCGCUACAAUGGCAGAGACAAAGGGUUGCAAAACCGCAAGGUGAAGCUAAUCCCAAAAACUUUGUCUAAGUUCGGAUUGAAGGCUGCAAUUCGCCUUCAUGAAGCUGGAAUCGCUAGUAAUCGUGAAUCAGCCACGUCACGGUGAAUAUGUUCCCGGAUCUUGUACUCACCGCCCGUCACACCAAGAGAGUUGGUAGCUCCCGAAGCG
RNAcentral lists this ribosomal RNA (892 nucleotides) under uncultured organism. RNAcentral describes it as "bacterial SSU rRNA". It matches the Rfam family "Bacterial small subunit ribosomal RNA", at positions 523 to 1428 of the family's 1533-position model. The record is from RNAcentral.